UACGGAGGGGGCAAGCGUUGUUCGGAAUCAUUGGGCGUAAAGGGCGCGUAGGCGGCCGUCCAAGUCGGGUGUGAAAUCCCUCGGCUCAACCGAGGAACUGCACUCGAUACUGGUUGGCUAGAGUCCGGGAGGGGAUGGUGGAAUUCCCAGUGUAGCGGUGAAAUGCGUAGAUAUUGGGAAGAACACCGGUGGCGAAGGCGGCCAUCUGGACCGGAACUGACGCUGAGGCGCGAAAGCUAGGGUAGCAAACGGG
Molecule: ribosomal RNA, 253 nt
Filed under: uncultured bacterium
Lineage: Bacteria
Description: partial 16S ribosomal RNA
Rfam family: Bacterial small subunit ribosomal RNA
Source: RNAcentral